Molecule: small nucleolar RNA, 195 nt
Organism: Artibeus jamaicensis (Jamaican fruit-eating bat)
Lineage: Eukaryota; Metazoa; Chordata; Mammalia; Chiroptera; Phyllostomidae
Product: small nucleolar RNA SNORA73 family
Exons: 1
Source: RefSeq, a predicted model, not a curated record
CCAAUAACAGCACAUGAAAUUGAAGCAGUAAUCAAAAAACUCCCAGGGGAGCAGAGGGCUCUGCCCUGUGAUGUACAGUCCCUUUCCACAACAUUGGAGAGAAAGCCGGGCCUUGAGUCUGCGCCUGCAUAUUUCUACAGCUUCUCAGAGUCCUUUGGACAAUGACUGAGGAGACAAACCAUGCAGGAAACAUCU